Non-coding RNA from Merluccius polli (Benguela hake), 78 nucleotides. The record is from the annotation of a GenBank genome assembly. NCBI's taxonomy places the organism in Eukaryota, Metazoa, Chordata, Actinopteri, Gadiformes, Merlucciidae.
GGCGGGAUAGCCUAGCGGUUAGGGUUUUUGACUCUAGCCGAAAGGUUCUGGGUUCAAACCCCAAUGUCCCUCGGUCUA